Molecule: ribosomal RNA, 467 nt
Filed under: uncultured bacterium
Lineage: Bacteria
Description: partial 16S ribosomal RNA
Rfam family: Bacterial small subunit ribosomal RNA
Source: RNAcentral
ACGAACGCUGGCGGCGUGCUUCACACCUGCAAGUCGCACGGAAAGGCCCUGCUUUUGUGGGGUGCUCGAGUGGCGAACGGGUGAGUAACACGUGAGUAACCUGCCCUUGACUUUGGGAUAACUUCAGGAAACUGGGGCUAAUACCGGAUAGGAGCUCCUGCUGCAUGGUGGGGGUUGGAAAGUUUCGGCGGUUGGGGAUGGACUCGCGGCUUAUCAGCUUGUUGGUGGGGUAGUGGCUUACCAAGGCUUUGACGGGUAGCCGGCCUGAGAGGGUGACCGGCCACAUUGGGACUGAGAUACGGCCCAGACUCCUACGGGAGGCAGCAGUGGGGAAUAUUGCACAAUGGGCGGAAGCCUGAUGCAGCAACGCCGCGUGCGGGAUGACGGCCUUCGGGCUGUAAACCGCUUUCGCCUGUGACGAAGCGUGAGUGACGGUAAUGGGUAAAGAAGCACCGGCUAACUACGUG